Molecule: long non-coding RNA, 159 nt
Organism: Hibiscus syriacus
Lineage: Eukaryota; Viridiplantae; Streptophyta; Magnoliopsida; Malvales; Malvaceae
Exons: 3
Source: RefSeq, a predicted model, not a curated record
AACUUCUAACAUGAUGGAACAAAUUCUUAAUUUCCUGAAGCCGAGACUGAGAUUGGAUCAAUGAGCAAUGAAGUGAUCCCCUCUUUUGUAGUUUUUCCAACAUGUGUGUACCCAUCUCCAGCCUUAUAAAUGAACUCACAGCCCCUUGAAAAAUUGAGA